RNAcentral lists this ribosomal RNA (711 nucleotides) under uncultured archaeon. RNAcentral describes it as "bacterial SSU rRNA". It matches the Rfam family "Archaeal small subunit ribosomal RNA", at positions 96 to 808 of the family's 1478-position model. The record is from RNAcentral.
ACACGAUGGAUAACCUACCCUUAGGACCGGAAUAACCCCGGGAAACUGGGGAUAAUACCGGAUAAGCCAUAGACGCUGGAAUGCCCUAUGGUUCAAAGCUCCGGCGCCUAAGGAUGGAUCUGCGGUCUAUCAGGUUGUAGUGGGUGUAACGUACCUACUAGCCGACGACGGAUACGGGUUGUGAGAGCAAGAGCCCGGAGAUGGAUUCUGAGACACGAAUCCAGGCCCUACGGGGUGCAGCAGGCGCGAACACUUUACAAUGCGGGAAACCGCGAUAAGGGAACCCCGAGUGCCAGCAUCAAAUGUUGGCUGUCCGGAUGAUUAAAAAUCAUUUGUUAGCAAGGGCCGGGCAAGACCGGUGCCAGCCGCCGCGGUAACACCGGCGGCCCGAGUGGUAGCCGUUUUUAUUGGGUCUAAAGGGUCCGUAGCCGGCUUGAUAAGUCCUUUGGGAAAUCUGGCAGCUUAACUGUCAGGCUUCUAAGGGAUACUGUCAGGCUUGGGACCGGAAGAGGUAAGGGGUACUCCAGGGGUAGGAGUGAAAUCUUGUAAUCCCUGGGGGACCAUCUGUGGCGAAGGCGCCUUACCAGAACGGGUCCGACGGUGAGGGACGAAAGCUAGGGGACCAACCGGAUUAGAUACCCGGGUAGUCCUAGCUGUAAACGAUGCUCGCUAGGUGUCAGACACGGUGCGACCGUGUUUGGUGCCGCAGGA